RNAcentral lists this ribosomal RNA (468 nucleotides) under uncultured bacterium. Its description in RNAcentral is "bacterial SSU rRNA". It matches the Rfam family "Bacterial small subunit ribosomal RNA", at positions 29 to 506 of the family's 1533-position model. The record is from RNAcentral.
AUGAACGCUGGCGGCGUGCUUAAUACAUGCAAGUCGAACGAAGAGCCUUUGUAGCAAUACGAGGGUUUCUUAGUGGCGAACGGGUGCGUAACGCGUUGGUGACCUGCCCCGAAGUGUGGGAUAACAGUUCGAAAGGACUGCUAAUACCGCAUGUGGUUUUCCGGAUCAGAUGCCGGAUUUCUAAAGCAGUAAUGCGCUUCGGGAGGGACCUGCGUCCCAUCAGCUAGUUGGUGAGGUAAUGGCCCACCAAGGCUACGACGGGUAGGGGACCUGAGAGGGUGGUCCCCCACACUGGCACUGAAACACGGGCCAGACACCUACGGGUGGCAGCAGUAGGGAAUAUUGGGCAAUGGGCGAAAGCCUGACCCAGCAACGCCGCGUGCAUGAUGAAGGUCUUCGGAUCGUAAAAUGCUUUUCUGAGAGAUGAGAAAGGACAGUAUCUCAGGAAUAAGUCUCGGCUAACUACGU